GGUGGCCGCAGUCUAACCAUGCAGUCGAGCGGAUGAGGGAGCUUGCUCCUGGAUUCAGCGGCGGACGGGUGAGUAAUGCCUAGGAAUCUGCCUGGUAGUGGGGGAUAACGUCCGGAAACGGGCGCUAAUACCGCAUACGUCCUGAGGGAGAAAGUGGGGGAUCUUCGGACCUCACGCUAUCAGAUGAGCCUAGGUCGGAUUAGCUAGUUGGUGGGGUAAAGGCCUACCAAGGCGACGAUCCGUAACUGGUCUGAGAGGAUGAUCAGUCACACUGGAACUGAGACACGGUCCAGACUCCUACGGGAGGCAGCAGUGGGGAAUAUUGGACAAUGGGCGAAAGCCUGAUCCAGCCAUGCCUCGUGUGUGAAGAAGGUCUUCGGAUUGUAAAGCACUUUAA
This 397-nucleotide ribosomal RNA is filed under the name Pseudomonas aeruginosa. Its description in RNAcentral is "bacterial SSU rRNA". It matches the Rfam family "Bacterial small subunit ribosomal RNA", at positions 35 to 438 of the family's 1533-position model. Lineage: Bacteria; Pseudomonadati; Pseudomonadota; Gammaproteobacteria; Pseudomonadales; Pseudomonadaceae. The record is from RNAcentral.